This 129-nucleotide ribosomal RNA is filed under the name Triticum aestivum (bread wheat). Its description in RNAcentral is "partial small subunit ribosomal RNA". The record is from RNAcentral. Lineage: Eukaryota; Viridiplantae; Streptophyta; Magnoliopsida; Poales; Poaceae.
AUGCACACACACCUAUCCCCUAGUUGCGACUCGAUGGUCAACUUGCAACGAAGGGUCGAGAAUAAAACACACACACACACCCUAGUUGCGAAAAACAAAACAACAACAAACCACCCCACCCCCACCUGA